This 253-nucleotide ribosomal RNA is filed under the name uncultured Lactobacillus sp. Its description in RNAcentral is "partial 16S ribosomal RNA". It matches the Rfam family "Bacterial small subunit ribosomal RNA", at positions 524 to 776 of the family's 1533-position model. Lineage: Bacteria; Bacillati; Bacillota; Bacilli; Lactobacillales; Lactobacillaceae. The record is from RNAcentral.
UACGUAUGGAGCAAGCGUUAUCCGGAUUUACUGGGCGUAAAGGGAGCGUAGGCGGCCUGCCAAGUCUGAUGUGAAAGCCUUCGGCUUAACCGGAGUAGUGCAUUGGAAACUGGGAGACUUGAGUGCAGAAGAGGAGAGUGGAACUCCAUGUGUAGCGGUGAAAUGCGUAGAUAUAUGGAAGAACACCAGUGGCGAAAGCGGCUCUCUGGUCUGUAACUGACGCUGAGGUUCGAAAGCGUGGGUAGCAAACAGG